Molecule: long non-coding RNA, 1365 nt
Organism: Mauremys reevesii (Reeves's turtle)
Lineage: Eukaryota; Metazoa; Chordata; Testudines; Geoemydidae
Exons: 3
Source: RefSeq, a predicted model, not a curated record
UUUCCAGGAAGCUAUAUUUUGAUAUAGCAGAGUCAGUGACCAAAGUGGACAAAUUACAGAAACAUUAAUUAAUUUGUUUUGUGAUCCUCAUGAGUUCCUGAAGGAACACAUAAAAGGAAGCGAUCUAGAGUUUCAGCGGAUACAAAUAUUUCGUGCUGGCUACAAAGAAGAAGUGACAGGUUUGAAAUAAAGUGAUUGUGACUGAUGUCAUCUAGCCAGUCAAGCAGCAAGUGAACAUCACAAUUGGAGCUAACAAAGAGAUCUCAAAACAAAGAGAUGAAGCAGUUGAUAAGAGAGGACCAGUGGAGAAGAGAACUGUUCUUCACUAGGCUUUACAAUAUUUCUGUUAAGAAAGAAAAGAACAUGGCUCUUUUUCCUUUUUACAUCUUUCAUCAAGCAUUCUACCACACAGAAUUCUGCCACUUUGUUAUCUGGCUAAUAGUAUUCUGGAAAAUAUACACAUUUUGUUGUACACUAAUUUCUCUUUGCAUCAAAGAGUAAUGAAUGCCAUUGCCAUGGGAUGAUUUCCUAUGAGCUUAUAUGGGAGUCAUGCAGGCCCUGUACCCAAGGAGGUGAAUUUCAUAUAGAACUAUCACAGCUAUGCUUUGAUGGUGAUGUUCACCUCUCCCACACAAAGCCAUACUAAUCCUUUCUAAGCAGAGGUCGGGAAUGGCAUCCACCCUCUGCCCGCAGGGCUGCAGUACAGUCUUUCUAUAGCCACUCCCUGAGCUGCAUGAGUUCCCAGCCACUGGAUAAAUAUGGAUCCAGCAGCCCCCUUUCUGUCCUACUCCUAAUGUUCCCUUCUACAUCAAGUGUCAUGGAGCUCACUUCCCACUGCAUGCAUGGGGUAUGGAGGCCCAUCUGCAGAAGCUACUCUUCCCAAGGCAUACACCCUCCUGUCCCUGCCAGGGCUUCUGUGCCAUUGAGGACCCUGCAUGAGUUCCUUGGUAAAUCUACAGGAGGGUGAUGAGUGCUCUCAAUUUCCACUGACAUUGAUUUCACCCUUACAGUCCAUCUAGAUGAUGGGGAAAAAAGACACUUUUAAAAAUUGAGUUAAUAAUUGUUUCAAAUUAUGUUAGUUAAGGUGUAAACUGUCUAUACAAGGUCUUAAGGGAUGUUUCAAAUCAUGUUACGUAACAAUUUAAAAAGCACGUUUCUUUUGUAAUUUAGCAGACCCUUAGAGACUAGUGAGGCUUGUAGUUUCUGUUUCUCUAUCCCAAUAGAUCACAAAUCAAGCUUUAAAGGUGACAUGCAAAAUGGUAACUUUGGGCUUCUUCCCUCUUAUAUACAUAUAACAUAUAAAGGCUUCCCCCUCAAAAGUUGACUUUCUGCUUUUCAGUAUCAGCAAGUCAAGUCUCUAUGGAU